CAGGCGUGUGUACAGCUUUACAAUGCAGAAAGGGAACCAACCAAUGGGACGAAAAGAUGAGCCGAUACCGAAGUUAUAUAUGGCCUGAGGGUCGCAACGGUUGCUUCAGACGCGCGGCGAAGGCUGCAAGAUGGCGUUUCCACUGGGCUGGCAGCUGACCGCCGCGUUGAUCGUUUUUGCGGUGGCAGCGUCGGCGCACGCCUCCUGGACACGCCUACUGACGGAUGUUAUUCCCGGUCUGCGUACGAUGGUAGCUACACCGGAAACGACUCUCAACGAAACCGAGCCGGUUGACUUGCACCAGUAUGACCAAGCGGUACAGGACCUUCUGGAUUCCAUUUUAGCAGCGCACAACUUGCCCAGCGACUCCGGCCCAAGACGAGGGAAGCGCAGCACAUCACUCGACGUCUCGAUCAAGGACAGCC
Rhipicephalus sanguineus (brown dog tick) is the source of this 425-nucleotide long non-coding RNA. RefSeq lists it as uncharacterized. Lineage: Eukaryota; Metazoa; Arthropoda; Arachnida; Ixodida; Ixodidae. The record is from RefSeq and is a predicted model, not a curated record. The transcript is spliced from 3 exons.